This 265-nucleotide ribosomal RNA is filed under the name uncultured bacterium. RNAcentral describes it as "partial 16S ribosomal RNA". It matches the Rfam family "Bacterial small subunit ribosomal RNA", at positions 793 to 1055 of the family's 1533-position model. The record is from RNAcentral.
GUCCACGCCCUAAACGAUGAUGACUAGUUGUUGGGGGAGUUAAAUCCCUUAGUAACGCAGCUAACGCGUGAAGUCAUCCGCCUGGGGAGUACGGUCGCAAGAUUAAAACUCAAAGGAAUUGACGGGGGCCCGCACAAGCGGUGGAUGAUGUGGUUUAAUUCGACGCAACGCGAAAACCUUACCUACCCUUGACAUGUGCGGAAUCCUGCAGAGAUGCAGGAGUGCCCGAAAGGGAACCGCAACACAGGUGCUGCAUGGCUGUCGU